Molecule: ribosomal RNA, 505 nt
Filed under: uncultured bacterium
Lineage: Bacteria
Description: partial 16S ribosomal RNA
Rfam family: Bacterial small subunit ribosomal RNA
Source: RNAcentral
GACGAACGCUGGCGGCGUGCCUAAUACAUGCAAGUCGAACGCACAGUCGAUACCGUAGCUUGCUACACCAUAGCCUGUGAGUUGCGAGCGGGUGAGUAACGCGUAGGUAACCUGCCUGGUAGCGGGGGAUGACUAUUGGACAAGAUAGCUAAUAUCGCAUAAUAUUGAUUAUUCCAUGAUAAUAGAUGGACAUGUUCAAUUGCAUCACUACCAGAGGGACGUGUUUUGUAUUAGCUAGUAGGAGAGGUAACGGCUCACCUAGGCGAAGAUACAUAGCCGACCCGGGAGGGUGAUCGGCCAACACGGGACCUGGACACGGCCCCGAAUCCUACGGGGAGGAGCAGUAGGGAAUCUUCGGGAAUGGGGGGAAGUCCGACCGAGCAACGCCGCGUGAGUGAAGAAGGUUUUCGGGUCGUAAAGCUCUGUUGUAAGGGAAGAACGGGUGUUAGAGUGGAAAGUUCACACUGUGACGGUAUCUUACCAGAAAGGGACGGCUAACUACGUG